AUGCAUCACAUGAGGAAGGACAAGUUCCGUCAGUACUUUGGAGAAGCUCUAGAUUUGGUGGAGCAGUUUGGUAUUGAACAUGUGAUCUCCUUUCACCUUGACUAUGACCCUGAGCUUGUUUGUCAGUUCUUUGCCUCAGUUUACUUUCACCCUGAUGAGGAGCGGAGGAUGACCUGGAUGACCAAUGGACGUAAGUUGACUGCUACCUGGAAGGAGUUCAUGGAUUUGCUACAUGUUCCUGAUGACGGGCUCGACACUCCCGUGGGUGUUCGCCCCCAUGCUAAUCCUGAGUCUGCUAACAAGGACAAGCUUCAGCCAUUCUAUGUUGAGAAGGCGCUUCCCAAUGGCAAUAUAGGGUGGGUGCUCAACUCCUUUCUGGAUAUCAUGUAUCGCAUCUUUCGCAACUCUUUGUUCGCAUUGGUGACAAGGACAAGGUUCAUGCCUAUAUGGUGGAUAUGA
This 459-nucleotide ribosomal RNA is filed under the name Triticum aestivum (bread wheat). RNAcentral describes it as "partial small subunit ribosomal RNA". Lineage: Eukaryota; Viridiplantae; Streptophyta; Magnoliopsida; Poales; Poaceae. The record is from RNAcentral.